RNAcentral lists this long non-coding RNA (730 nucleotides) under Olea europaea subsp. europaea. The record is from RNAcentral. Lineage: Eukaryota; Viridiplantae; Streptophyta; Magnoliopsida; Lamiales; Oleaceae.
CGCUAAUUAAAUUGUAAUUCAAACACUCCAAAAUAAGUGAUAACUUAAAAUUAUAAUUCAGAAAUUAUUGUUAAACAAGAGAAGUAAAAUUCCAAUGUUCAAGAUGUCCGUGCUAAUUAUUUAUGAAAACUGUGUACAUGCUUGAUGAAUAUGCGAAUCUGACUAAACGUGCUGAUCAGACUGGGGGUUUGGACUUAGCCUGCGCCUUGGUUGAUGGACUUCCGCGUGUUGGGCUUGGACCCUUUUGAUGGGCAAACUCAACCCGAGUCAAGUUCUUUGGAGCAUGUAGCGGAUAUUCGCAAAACCAUUUUGCACUUUUUACCACGUGUGCAUUCAUGCGAUCAAUAUAUUUUUGUGUUCACGAGGCAUCCCUGCCCAACACAGAAUGCUGUUACUAUUAGAACAUAAUCUCUUUUGCAAAUAAAUAAUAACAAUUAUCUAAUUGGUACUAGAAUUCAACUUAAAUCUCUUAUAAAACAAAAUGUCUUGAAUUCAAAUCCUAGGAACACGUCAUAAAUUCGUGGGACUAUAAGAUUGACACGAACUCUGUCAAAACGAGCAAUAUAUAGAUUAACGAUUUGAGCAUAGGCUGAAUCAUUAUUUAAAAAAAGGCAACCUCACCACUUAAGCUGUCAACUUACAUAACAUGAGCCCACCUUACCCCUCAUAUCAUUUGCAUUACGAGAGAUUUAGUACUUGUUUGGUAGGGAUUUUGAUAAUUGAUUUUUUG